Phalacrocorax carbo (great cormorant) is the source of this 862-nucleotide non-coding RNA. NCBI's taxonomy places the organism in Eukaryota, Metazoa, Chordata, Aves, Suliformes, Phalacrocoracidae. The record is from RefSeq and is a predicted model, not a curated record.
GUGGAAAUCACUCGUUACGUCGACCAGGAGACCUGAAAUAGAAGCCGUAGCUUAGUCAAAGAGGAGAUGCAUACUAAAGGCAACUGGUGCAUUUUACUUUAGCAGACUUGAGGACUACAAAUAGAAAUGGAGCUGCUUUUACUGCACUUUAUUUUGCCCAUGUGCCACUUCUAUCAGCCCAAAGUCAUGGAGUAAAUGAACUCAAUGGAUGUUUUUGUGGACAUCUGUGGAUAUUUUACAGGGGUGGUCCAUAGACUAAGGGAAUGAUAAAUGAUAUCUGUGUAUUCUGUCAAAGGAUGGGAAGGUGGGUGGUGGUUAUUGAUGUUGUACUGGAUAGUGUGGGACCUGAGCAUGAUAUAAAUGGUAUGGAAUAAGGGGUGGAUACUGUCCUGGUUUCAGCUGGGAUAGGGUUAGUUUGCUUCGUAGUAGCUCGUGUGGGGCUGAGUUUUGGAUUUGUGCUGGAAACAGUGGUGAUAACAUGGAGAUGUUUUAGUUGUUGCUGAGCAGGGCUUACACUGCUCAAGGACUUUCCCAGCUCCCCAGGCUCUGCCAGGGGCACAAGAAGCCGGGAGGGGAGGGGGCACAGCCAGGGCAGCUGAUCCCAACUGACCAAAGGGAUAUUCCAGACCAUGUGGGGUCAUGCCCAGUGUAUGAAGCUGGGGGAAGGAGGAGGAAGGGGGCGGACAUUCAGAGCAAUGGAGCAUGUCUUCUCAAGUAACUGUUAGGUGUGAUGGAGCCCUGCUGUCCUGGAGACGGCUGAACACCUGCCUGCCCAUGGGACGGAGGGAAUGAGUUCCUUGUUUGGCUUUGGUGGCAUGCGCAGCGUUUGCUUUACCUAUUAAACUGUCUUUAUCUCAACCCA